CACCAUAGAGUUUGAUUUUUGGCUCAGGACGAACGCUGGCGGCGUGCCUAAUACAUGCAAGUUGAGCGCUGAAGGUUGGUACUUGUACCGACUGGAUGAGCAGCGAACGGGUGAGUAACGCGUGGGGAAUCUGCCUUUGAGCGGGGGACAACAUCUGGAAACGAAUGCUAAUACCGCAUAAAAACUUUAAACACAAGUUUUAAGUUUGAAAGAUGCAAUUGCAUCACUCAAAGAUGAUCCCGCGUUGUAUUAGCUAGUUGGUGAGGUAAAGGCUCACCAAGGCGAUGAUACAUAGCCGACCUGAGAGGGUGAUCGGCCACAUUGGGACUGAGACACGGCCCAAACUCCUACGGGAGGCAGCAGUAGGGAAUCUUCGGCAAUGGACGAAAGUCUGACCGAGCAACGCCGCGUGAGUGAAGAAGGUUUUCGGAUCGUAAAACUCUGUUGGUAGAGAAGAACGUUGGUGAGAGUGGAAAGCUCAUCAAGUGACGGUAACUACCCAGAAAGGGACGGCUAACUACGUGCCAGCAGCCGCGGUAAUACGUAGGUCCCGAGCGUUGUCCGGAUUUAUUGGGCGUAAAGCGAGCGCAGGUGGUUUAUUAAGUCUGGUGUAAAAGGCAGUGGCUCAACCAUUGUAUGCAUUGGAAACUGGUAGACUUGAGUGCAGGAGAGGAGAGUGGAAUUCCAUGUGUAGCGGUGAAAUGCGUAGAUAUAUGGAGGAACACCGGUGGCGAAAGCGGCUCUCUGGCCUGUAACUGACACUGAGGCUCGAAAGCGUGGGGAGCAAACAGGAUUAGAUACCCUGGUAGUCCACGCCGUAAACGAUGAGUGCUAGAUGUAGGGAGCUAUAAGUUCUCUGUAUCGCAGCUAACGCAAUAAGCACUCCGCCUGGGAGACCCUCUG
This 903-nucleotide ribosomal RNA is filed under the name Lactococcus lactis subsp. lactis. RNAcentral's name for it is "bacterial SSU rRNA". It matches the Rfam family "Bacterial small subunit ribosomal RNA", at positions 1 to 888 of the family's 1533-position model. Lineage: Bacteria; Bacillati; Bacillota; Bacilli; Lactobacillales; Streptococcaceae. The record is from RNAcentral.